GACGAACGCUGGCGGCGUGCCUAAUACAUGCAAGUCGAACGAGAGCGACCGGUGCUUGCACUGGUCAAUCUAGUGGCGAACGGGUGAGUAACACGUGGGUAACCUGCCCAUCAGAGGGGGAUAACAUCCGGAAACGGAUGCUAAAACCGCAUAGGUCUUCGAACCGCAUGGUUUGAAGAGGAAAAGAGGCGCAAGCUUCUGCUGAUGGAUGGACCCGCGGUGCAUUAGCUAGUUGGUGAGGUAACGGCUCACCAAGGCCGUGAUGCAUAGCCGACCUGAGAGGGUGAUCGGCCACAUUGGGACUGAGACACGGCCCAAACUCCUACGGGAGGCAGCAGUAGGGAAUCUUCCGCAAUGGACGCAAGUCUGACGGAGCAACGCCGCGUGAGUGAAGAAGGUGUUCGGAUCGUAAAACUCUGUUGUUAGAGAAGAACAAGUGCUAGAGUAACUGUUAGCGCCUUGACGGUAUCUAAACAGAAAGCCACGGCUAACUACGUG
Molecule: ribosomal RNA, 498 nt
Filed under: uncultured bacterium
Lineage: Bacteria
Description: partial 16S ribosomal RNA
Rfam family: Bacterial small subunit ribosomal RNA
Source: RNAcentral